Non-coding RNA from Caenorhabditis elegans, 21 nucleotides. Lineage: Eukaryota; Metazoa; Nematoda; Chromadorea; Rhabditida; Rhabditidae. The record is from Ensembl.
UGACGAUUCAGAAAAGUCGAC